Molecule: long non-coding RNA, 257 nt
Filed under: Elaeis guineensis (African oil palm)
Lineage: Eukaryota; Viridiplantae; Streptophyta; Magnoliopsida; Arecales; Arecaceae
Description: long non-coding RNA (EGUI_LNC038337)
Source: RNAcentral
CCUACACAACUACUCUAAGAAGACUCUUCAGGUAAGUUUAAGCUCCAAGUUUAAGUCUUAACCUCCUAAACUUAAAGUAGGUUCUCUGUCCUAAGUGCUCUAGAGUUUCCAUCUCUCUGCCAUUCACACAAUAUCUUUGCUAUUUUCCUUAGAGUUAUCUUAAGCAUUAGAGAGCCAUCCACCAAACACUCUCCAUCAAGAGAGCUUCCUUGUUUAUGAUGUUUCAAGACUAGGCCUGACAUUGGAACAAAGGUUUG